AGGGGACCCGCACAAGCGGUGGAUGAUGUGGAUUAAUUCGAUGCAACGCGAAGAACCUUACCUACCCUUGACAUGUCCGGAACUUGCCAGAGAUGGCUUGGUGCCCGAAAGGGAAUCGGAACACAGGUGCUGCAUGGCUGUCGUCAGCUCGUGUCGUGAGAUGUUGGGUUAAGUCCCGCAACGAGCGCAACCCUUAUCAUUAGUUGCUACGCAAGGGCACUCUAAUGAGACUGCCGGUGACAAACCGGAGGAAGGUGGGGAUGACGUCAAGUCCUCAUGGCCCUUAUGGGUAGGGCUUCACACGUCAUACAAUGGUCGGUACAGAGGGUUGCCAAGCCGCGAGGCGGAGCCAAUCCCACAAAGCCGAUCGUAGUCCGGAUUGUUCUCUGCAACUCGAGAGCAUGAAGUCGGAAUCGCUAGUAAUCGCAGGUCAGCAUACUGCGGUGAAUACGUUCCCGGGUCUU
Molecule: ribosomal RNA, 464 nt
Filed under: uncultured Thiobacillus sp.
Lineage: Bacteria; Pseudomonadati; Pseudomonadota; Betaproteobacteria; Nitrosomonadales; Thiobacillaceae
Description: bacterial SSU rRNA
Rfam family: Bacterial small subunit ribosomal RNA
Source: RNAcentral